This 707-nucleotide long non-coding RNA is filed under the name Canis lupus familiaris (dog). Its description in RNAcentral is "lncRNA (ENSCAFG00845016902.1)". Lineage: Eukaryota; Metazoa; Chordata; Mammalia; Carnivora; Canidae. The record is from RNAcentral.
GGUAGCACUCUUAACCUGCGGUUCAAAUUCCUUUGUGAUGUUUGAGGCUGGUCCAGACCCACCAAUGGGACGGGGAGAAGAGCAAGCGGUGGGCGGGGGCGCUGGCAGGGGAGGAGAGGGAGCCUUGGGGAGAAACCUGGGGGAGGCAGGGCUGAGGGCAUAGGGCGUUGAGUGAUUUUUGAGGAAAGGCUCUAGAGAAGCGCCGCGUUAAAGUAGGGAGGAGGGCCCCCCGAAACUGGCUGCCCCGGGGCAGGGCCGGUUGACCCGCGCCUGGGAGGAGCCCCGCGUCCCGUCGCGCCGACCCUGGGCUGGCUGCGUGUGCGUCGGGAGUCGAGCCGCCGUACGCACCAGGAAGUGACUCCCAGCGGCAGAGAUCCACGCUGUCCGCUGGCUUUUUCGUUUGCCGCCUCAGUACUAUGAAGUAUUUCUUUGACAGUCUGCAAUGGAGUCCUGCUUUUUGUUUCAUGAAGACUAUCAGGUGGUUCAAGCCAUUCAAAACUGCAGGGCUAUCCGCACGCAGAUUUUUAUUUCCUGCAAGCCCCAUGGUGAAACCACAAGGAACAUCAUUGAGACUAUGCUGUCCUCCAGACUCAGCUAAGAAGCUCUUUGCACCCAGUCCAGUGUCUGGAAUGUGCAGGUGCUCAGAGAGGCAAUAUAGCCUACUGGCCAAGAGGACUGGCUUUGAAAUCUGUCUGACCUGGCCUUGA